CUAGCUACUGUGAAGAAAAUUAGCUGUACUCCAGCCAAAGCCAGCACAAAUAGGCAUGGGAGAAAAACACACUGGAUGUAUCACUGGAUCCAAAACUACUGAGCAUUGUGGUGAUCUACUCGAGGGACACUUACUGGAGCUGAGAUGGAGCUUUUCAAUUGUACUGAUCUCCUCUAUGACAGGAUGAAAAAAAGGACCCUGAGAACGAACAGCCUGUCAGCCCCACCUCUAUGCCUAGAACAAUCAUGGAAAAGAUCCUCACAGAAAUUCUGCUAAGGCACAGGGAGGAUAGCAAGGUGAUUCAGGAGAGACAGCUCUGCUUCACCAAGGGAAAAUCCUGUUUGACCAGCUCAGUGGCCUUCUACAGCACUGUGAUUACAUCACUGGAAGAGGGGAGGGCUACAGAUGUCA
Molecule: long non-coding RNA, 411 nt
Organism: Cyanistes caeruleus (blue tit)
Lineage: Eukaryota; Metazoa; Chordata; Aves; Passeriformes; Paridae
Source: RefSeq, a predicted model, not a curated record